UACGAAGGGGCUAGCGUUGCUCGGAAUCACUGGGCGUAAGCGCACGUAGGCGGCUUCUUAAGUCAGGGGUGAAAUCCUGGAGCUCAACUCCAGAACUGCCUUUGAUACUGAGAGCUUGAGUCCGGAGAGGUGAGUGGAACUGCGAGUGUAGAGGUGAAAUUCGUAGAUAUUCGCAAGAACACCAGUGGCGAAGGCGGCUCACUGGCCCGGUACUGACGCUGAGGUGCGAAAGCGUGGGAGCAACAGG
RNAcentral lists this ribosomal RNA (247 nucleotides) under uncultured bacterium. RNAcentral's name for it is "partial 16S ribosomal RNA". It matches the Rfam family "Bacterial small subunit ribosomal RNA", at positions 524 to 776 of the family's 1533-position model. The record is from RNAcentral.